UUCACUAUUUAUUCUUUUGAUUAUGUUUUUUUUAAAUUGUUGUGUGAAAUUGUUGUGAAUUUGGGGGAAAUUGUGUGAAAGUGUUGUUCUUGAUUGUAUAAAUUUGUGAUAUUUGACAGAAGUACAAGCCCUAAUCUAUUACGAAAGUACUAAAAAAAUGAAGAGGGUCCGUUAAUUGGGUUAAUUGUGUGAAGAUCUGAUCCUUGAAAUCAUGUUUCGAUCAACCAUAAAAUCAUCAAGAAGGCUCAAUUGAAAUUCAAAGUAAUUAUCUCUUAAUUUUUUUUUAAUUUUCAGGGUUUUAUUUCAGUUUUAGGGUUUUAAUUCCAAUUCCAUUAUUAGUUUUUUAUUUCAGUAAUUGGAAGCUGGGGAAUAAAAUAUAAAUGAGUUCUUAUACUCCAAUUGAUUCAAUUGAUUUAAUUCCUCUUCCUGCUAAUUCCUGUGACUCCUCUUUCCGGUCUUAAUUAGCUAAUUGACUCCUCUUUUUUGACUUUGGGCUAAUUCCAAUUUAUUCUGAAAUAACAGCCACAGAGUUCAGUUUUAGGGUUUUUAUUCUGAUAUGGUAAUUUGUUGAUUUCUGCUCAGUUUCUUCAUAGAGAGCUUUUUAUUCGAAUUGCGCACAAGCUAUUGAACUUGAUAAUGCGUUAUCCAAUUCUGGCUCUUGAAUAAUCAAACGGAACAAAGCCGAGACAAGGGGGAAAUACCAGCAAGUUAACAAAAAAUGUCUAUAUUACAUUUAGAACUGAAUACUGUAGCCAACAACUCCAUCAAUUUCAUGGAAAUAGCCAACAACUCCAUCAAUUCCUCUCCAUCAAACCAAAGAAGUCAAUCUAAGGCAAGAAUUAAGAUCAUUACAGGAAGCUAUGCAUAGCUGUGAAUCUAAACAUGGAGAACAAUAAUAGCGAUCAUGAAGUUAGGCAAGGGACUUGAGGUGAAACAAGAGGAUCAAUUGCCCCAUCUAUUAUCAUGCAGUUUGUUCUGUUUGGUGUGAAUUGUUAUAGGUUAUGAAUUAUUAAAUUGUUUUAUUAUUUAGAUUUUUAAAAUAGAGAUGACUUUUAAUCUCUAUUCUGUAGGUGAGCUUUUUUUCUUACCUAUUAUUUAGGGUGAUUUACUGUAAUAAAUAUAAUCUAGCAUGCAUUGUGUGCAUAUAAAGAAAGAAGGUAUC
This is a long non-coding RNA of Spinacia oleracea (spinach), 1162 nucleotides long. RefSeq lists it as uncharacterized. The record is from RefSeq and is a predicted model, not a curated record. The transcript has 4 exons. Lineage: Eukaryota; Viridiplantae; Streptophyta; Magnoliopsida; Caryophyllales; Amaranthaceae.